AUUGAACGCUGGCGGCAUGCUUUACACAUGUAAGUCGAACGGCAGCGCGGGCUUCGGCCUGGCGGCGCGUGGAGAACGGGUGAGUAAUGCAUCGGAACGUGCCCAGUUGUGGGGGAUAACCCGGCGACAGGCGGAUUAAUACCGCAUACGACCUGAGGGUGCAAGCGGGGGACCGAAAGGCCUCGCGCUCUUGGCGUCGCCGAUGUCGGAUUAGACAGAUAGUAGGGUAAAGGCAUACCAAGGCGACGAAACGUUGCUGGUCUGAGAGGACGACCAGCCACCCGGAGACUGAGCCACGGCCCAGACUCCAACGAGAGGCAGCAGUGGGGAAUUUUGGACAAUGGGGGCAAGCCUGAUCCAGCCAUGCCGCGUGAGGGAAGAAGGCCUUCGGGUUGUAAACCGCUUUUGUUCGGGAAGAAAUCCUCUGGGCUAAUACCCCGGGGGGAUGACGGUACCGGAAGAAUAAGCAACGGCUAACUACGUG
This 484-nucleotide ribosomal RNA is filed under the name uncultured bacterium. RNAcentral describes it as "partial 16S ribosomal RNA". It matches the Rfam family "Bacterial small subunit ribosomal RNA", at positions 29 to 507 of the family's 1533-position model. The record is from RNAcentral.